This 279-nucleotide ribosomal RNA is filed under the name uncultured bacterium. RNAcentral describes it as "partial 16S ribosomal RNA". It matches the Rfam family "Bacterial small subunit ribosomal RNA", at positions 333 to 627 of the family's 1533-position model. The record is from RNAcentral.
UGAUUCCUACGGGGGGCAGCAGUGGGGAAUAUUGGGCAAUGGGCGCAAGCCUGGCCCAGCAACGCCGCGUGAAGGAAGAAGGCUUUCGGGUUGUAAACUUCUUUUGUCAGGGACGAAGCAAGUGACGGUACCUGGCGAAUAAGCCACGGCUAACUACGUGCCAGCAGCCGCGGUAAUACGUAGGGGGCAAGCGUUAUCCGGAUUUAUUGGGUUUAAAGGGUGCGCAGGCGGCACGGCAAGCCGGCGGUCAAAUCGCGGGGCUCAACCCCGCCCAGCCGU